CUGGAAUGAGACGCCAAAGCUGAGUAGC
RNAcentral lists this non-coding RNA (28 nucleotides) under Homo sapiens (human). Lineage: Eukaryota; Metazoa; Chordata; Mammalia; Primates; Hominidae. The record is from RNAcentral.